UAACUUUAAUAAAUAAUCAAUCACUAACUACCCAACAUAAAGUUUCUUAUAUUUGAUAUGUCUUUUAGGACUAAAAUAUAAGUGAAGGUUAGGAUGGUUCAUUUCGGAAUAAUGAGAACCCUAUAUACUAUACACAAACAAUUUAUCUCUUCUCCAUAUCUAAAGAGUAUUCAAGGCAUUAGGAUAAUGAUUGAGGAAGAACUAUACAAGCCAUCAGGAGUUCAUUGUUUGUCUUCUAUCUUUCAUGAUUACCGCCAACAAAAAUCUUUCUCAAUAGAUUCAUUUUUCAAUAGAUCCAAGCAUUCCUGCAA
This 311-nucleotide long non-coding RNA is filed under the name Lathyrus oleraceus (garden pea). RNAcentral describes it as "Pisum sativum (pea) long non-coding RNA (PSAT_LNC013945)". The record is from RNAcentral. Lineage: Eukaryota; Viridiplantae; Streptophyta; Magnoliopsida; Fabales; Fabaceae.